UACGUAGGGACCAAGCGUUGUUCGGAUUUACUGGGCGUAAAGGGCGCGUAGGCGGCAAUUCAAGUCAUCUGUGAAAUCUCCGGGCUUAACCCGGAACGGUCAGAUGAUACUGCUUUGCUAGAGUGCGGAAGGGGCAAUCGGAAUUCCUGGUGUAGCGGUGAAAUGCGCAGAUAUCAGGAGGAACACCGGUGGCGAAGGCGGGUCUCUGGGCCGAUACUGACGCUGAGGAGCGAAAGCGUGGGGAGCGAACAGG
This 253-nucleotide ribosomal RNA is filed under the name uncultured bacterium. Its description in RNAcentral is "partial 16S ribosomal RNA". It matches the Rfam family "Bacterial small subunit ribosomal RNA", at positions 524 to 776 of the family's 1533-position model. The record is from RNAcentral.